This is a long non-coding RNA of Poecilia latipinna (sailfin molly), 267 nucleotides long. RefSeq lists it as uncharacterized. The transcript is spliced from 2 exons. Lineage: Eukaryota; Metazoa; Chordata; Actinopteri; Cyprinodontiformes; Poeciliidae. The record is from RefSeq and is a predicted model, not a curated record.
AUACUUUUUCAUCCUGUGUCACUUUUCUACCAGACUACGCCUUCUUUGUCAAACCAUUUUAUGGGUGCACAUGUGCUGCGAUCAAUGAUGAGGCGCGACAUGCUGUUUUAUACUGUAACAUUUGGUUAUAGUGAAGCAGCUGACUGCUUCCCGCUCCAGCCCAACACCCUCUGGAUAUUAAAAGUCUGUAUUAUAUGUCACUGAGACUGGAUAUGGCUUAAACACUGUGCUUUAGCUGUCUUUAAAUAUAUUCAAUAAGUUAUCACA